This 260-nucleotide long non-coding RNA is filed under the name Elaeis guineensis (African oil palm). RNAcentral's name for it is "long non-coding RNA (EGUI_LNC018705)". Lineage: Eukaryota; Viridiplantae; Streptophyta; Magnoliopsida; Arecales; Arecaceae. The record is from RNAcentral.
UCUCCCGAUGGCUUCCACAAAUGCCGCCCUAUCCAGAUAGAGCUCAGUCUCCUCCAUGUCGGAAGAUACAGUGAUAAAAGCCUUUGGCAUGUCCGAGCCAGAUGGAGGAGGGGGUGGUGGAUGUGAAGAAGGCGUAGGUGUCAUUAGGGCUCGUUGCCGGGUAGUGUGAAAGAGGUGUUUCGCCUGCGUUUUGGAAGGAGUCUGCCUCCGCCUUUUCAUUUGAGAGAGGACCACCAGCUCUUUGCAUGAUCUUGUUCUGU